GACGAACGCUGGCGGCGUGCCUAAUACAUGCAAGUUGAGCGAUGAAGAUUGGUGCUUGCACCAAUUUGAAGAGCAGCGAACGGGUGAGUAACGCGUGGGGAAUCUGCCUUUGAGCGGGGGACAACAUUUGGAAACGAAUGCUAAUACCGCAUAACAACUUUAAACAUAAGUUUUAAGUUUGAAAGAUGCAAUUGCAUCACUCAAAGAUGAUCCCGCGUUGUAUUAGCUAGUUGGUGAGGUAAAGGCUCACCAAGGCGAUGAUACAUAGCCGACCUGAGAGGGUGAUCGGCCACAUUGGGACUGAGACACGGCCCAAACGCCUACGGGAGGCAGCAGUAGGGAAUCUUCGGCAAUGGACGAAAGUCUGACCGAGCAACGCCGCGUGAGUGAAGAAGGGUUUCGGAUCGUAAAACUCUGUUGGUAGAGAAGAACGUUGGUGAGAGUGGAAAGCUCAUCAAGUGACGGUAACUACCCAGAAAGGGACGGCUAACUACGUG
RNAcentral lists this ribosomal RNA (497 nucleotides) under uncultured bacterium. Its description in RNAcentral is "partial 16S ribosomal RNA". It matches the Rfam family "Bacterial small subunit ribosomal RNA", at positions 28 to 507 of the family's 1533-position model. The record is from RNAcentral.